This 987-nucleotide long non-coding RNA is filed under the name Marmota monax (woodchuck). Lineage: Eukaryota; Metazoa; Chordata; Mammalia; Rodentia; Sciuridae. The record is from RNAcentral.
GUUGCAGUACAAGUAGAUGUUUCCAGCAGGUACAGCCAUUCAGUUCUGCACACUGACUUCCCAUCUGUAACUUCAGGGCUUAGGAAAACCAAGUCAGUCUUGAGAGUGGGUAGAGGAAGGGGGCAGCAAGCAUUACUUCUGUGCUCCCCACAGCAAACCACCGUAAAGCCAUGAGUGGCAUGUGCCCACAGUGGUGGGAGCUCAGAGGACAGAGUGAGCUCAGAGGCUGUACCCUGUGGGUACGUACCUGCAAAGCUGCUUUCCCAUGCCUAGGCUGGGUCCAUGCCACGAGCCUUGCCCUUGCUCUGCUGUAGAACUGUAUGGUCACAAGCCUUUGUCCCUUUCAGAUGAACAGCCAAACAUCACCUGAGUUCAGAUCCAGAAAAUAAGGGGAGGUGAUUAAGUUUACAGGGCAGGACGUUGGAGCCAAGGAAUGUAAAACUCAAAGGAAAUAAAUACAAUAUUAGGAUUUCACAUCAAACCCUGAAAACAGCACUCAAGGAGGACUUUCAUAAACAAGGUAGCAUCAUUUUCAGCCAUUUCAGGUUUCCUCAAUGAAGAGCAUGUUGUUCACUCAAAUACACAUAAACAUGGUUACACACCACUUAGAAAUUUAUUUCAUGUUACACCUUCUGUAUUCUCCGUGAUCACAGGUCAAAAGAAUGUCUACAUUAUUUAAAAAUAGCCUGGUCUCGGGCUGGGGCUGUAGCUCAGUGGCAGAGCGCUUGCCUAGCACGUGUGAGGCAUUGGGUUCGAUCCUUGGCACCACAUUAAAUAAAUAAAUAAAUAAAGGCAUGCUGUCUAUCUACAACUAAAUAAAAAAAAAUUUUUUUAAAUAGCCUGGAUUCAAACUAAGGGGGAGAAGUCAUUCAAAAGGAUGGGGGUUUGGCAGAGUGAGAACCUUGUCUGUGGAUCUAUUUGUAAAACUAUAGAAUAUAGCUUUGCAGCUCAGUUUCCAUGGAAGCUUAAUGAAUGUGCAUUGAAAUU